CCGGUCGAGGGGCGCUGCAGCAGAUCCGCAUCACGCGGUUUUGUCAGGCUCGCCCGGGGCGUUAUCCAAACGCAUCAACGGCGCCCAUUCGCA
This 93-nucleotide non-coding RNA is filed under the name Ectopseudomonas oleovorans. RNAcentral describes it as "Pseudomonas oleovorans SAH_riboswitch". It matches the Rfam family "SAH (S-adenosyl-L-homocysteine) riboswitch aptamer". Lineage: Bacteria; Pseudomonadati; Pseudomonadota; Gammaproteobacteria; Pseudomonadales; Pseudomonadaceae. The record is from RNAcentral.